CCCUACGGGAGGCAGCAGUGGGGAAUUUUGCGCAAUGGGGGAAACCCUGACGCAGCAACGCCGCGUGAGUGAUGAAGGCCUUCGGGUCGUAAAGCUCUGUCUAGAGGAAAGAAAUGUUUGGAGGCUAAUACCCUUUGAACUUGACGGUACCUCUGAAGGAAGCACCGGCUAACUCCGUGCCAGCAGCCGCGGUAAUACGGAGGGUGCGAGCGUUGUUCGGAAUUAUUGGGCGUAAAGCGCGUGUAGGCGGUUUCAUAAGUCUGAUGUGAAAGCCCCGGGCUCAACCUGGGAAGUGCAUUGGAUACUGUGAGACUUGAGUACGGGAGAGGGUAGUGGAAUUCCUAGUGUAGGAGUGAAAUCCGUAGAUAUUAGGAGGAACACCGGUGGCGAAGGCGGCUACCUGGACCGAUACUGACGCUGAGACGCGAAAGCGUGGGGAGCAAACAGGAUUAGAUACCCCUGUAC
This 465-nucleotide ribosomal RNA is filed under the name uncultured bacterium. RNAcentral describes it as "bacterial SSU rRNA". It matches the Rfam family "Bacterial small subunit ribosomal RNA", at positions 337 to 793 of the family's 1533-position model. The record is from RNAcentral.